This 325-nucleotide small nuclear RNA is filed under the name Castor canadensis (American beaver). RNAcentral's name for it is "7SK RNA (ENSCCNG00000005010.1)". It matches the Rfam family "7SK RNA". From Rfam's summary of the family: 7SK was discovered as an abundant small nuclear RNA in the mid-70s but a possible function has only recently been suggested. Two independent studies have found that 7SK RNA binds the CDK9/cyclin T complex (known as elongation factor P-TEFb). The record is from Rfam by way of RNAcentral. Lineage: Eukaryota; Metazoa; Chordata; Mammalia; Rodentia; Castoridae.
GGAUGUAAGGGCGAGCUGACUGCGACAUCUGUCAUCCCAUUGAUUGCCAGGGUUGAUUCAGCUGAUCUGGCUGGCUAGGUAGGUGUCCCCUUCCUCCCUCACCGCUCCACGUGCGUUCCUCACAAAGCUGCAUGCUCAGUUGAAGAGGACGACCAUCCCUAAUAAAAGAGGACUGUUCUUUGGUCAAGGGAAUACGAGUAGCUGUGCCCCCUGCUAGAACCUCCAAACAAGAACUCACAAAACUUUUUUUGAUUAUUUUUAUUUACUGUGAUUGGUCAAAACUGCAAAUAGGGCUCUGUAUGCUGAUUAUGUAUUGUGCUAUUUU